GACGAACGCUGGCGGCGUGCUUAACACAUGCAAGUCGAACGGAAAGGCCCUGCUUUUGUGGGGUGCUCGAGUGGCGAACGGGUGAGUAACACGUGAGUAACCUGCCCUUGACUUUGGGAUAACUUCAGGAAACUGGGGCUAAUACCGGAUAGGAGCUCCUGCUGCAUGGGGGGGGUUGGAAAGUUUCGGCGGUUGGGGAUGGACUCGCGGCUUAUCAGCUUGUUGGUGGGGUAGUGGCUUACCAAGGCUUUGACGGGUAGCCGGCCUGAGAGGGUGACCGGCCACAUUGGGACUGAGAUACGGCCCAGACUCUUACGGGAGGCAGCAGUGGGGAAUAUUGCACAAUGGGCGGAAGCCUGAUGCAGCAACGCCGCGUGCGGGAUGACGGCCUUCGGGUUGUAAACCGCUUUCGCCUGUGACGAAGCGUGAGUGACGGUAAUGGGUAAAGAAGCACCGGCUAACUACGUG
RNAcentral lists this ribosomal RNA (468 nucleotides) under uncultured bacterium. Its description in RNAcentral is "partial 16S ribosomal RNA". It matches the Rfam family "Bacterial small subunit ribosomal RNA", at positions 28 to 507 of the family's 1533-position model. The record is from RNAcentral.